Long non-coding RNA from Varanus komodoensis (Komodo dragon), 2433 nucleotides. RefSeq lists it as uncharacterized. Lineage: Eukaryota; Metazoa; Chordata; Lepidosauria; Squamata; Varanidae. The record is from RefSeq and is a predicted model, not a curated record. The transcript is spliced from 2 exons.
GACAGGAAGCAACAGUGCCAGGUAUCCACCACUGAAAAUGGCAAAUGUUACAGAAUAGAUCAUAAGUAAAGGAAAGGUUGUGGCCAGAGGACACAGCAGGUUGGUGACACCACAAAGAAUGAGAAUGGGGCUAUUCAUCUGAGAAGAUGGGCAUUUGGGCAACUUUGGGCUGGCAUCUGUCUGGACUGCAGUGAAUGCAGUAGUGCUGAUGAUUGAAGUGGUAGCAAUAUUCCUGUUCCUUUUAAAAGAAAAUAAUAGAAAACCUUCUGCAGCCUAAUGGUAAGCACCUCCCUACAUUUAUAUUCCACAGAUUUGAAACAACCCCUGGAGAUUAUUCCAGUCUUCAGGAGCCUUCCAUUUGCCUGAAAGAGAUUUAAACUCUCUUGGUCCAGUGCUAAUUUUAUAUUUAUAAAGAGAGCAUGUGCAAAAAAAAAAGGCUUUUAGAAAAAGAACCUGUUUGAUUUCUUUCCCCUGAAAUGGUCUUUCUCUCUCAGGAUAUUUAUUUCCCAUUGAUGUCCUACAAUGUAACAAAGUAGAGGACAAUUUUACUACUAUGGUAGAAUUCCUCAUAAUUUGCCUAUCUCAGAAUUAAGUAGAACAAUUGAAGCAGAGUUUAACCAAUCCUAAGAUCUACUGCACCAGAAGGAUCUAUACAUUUUAAAGAAAAGGCAAAUUCUUUUACAAUGUUGCAGAUUUUUGGAUUUUGCUCAUAGCAAAGGGGGGAAAGUUGAAAGGGAAGGCAGUUUAGUUACAAUUUGACUCUAAAACAUUUGUGUCAGAUUUAACAUCAGUGUAAUUCCAAUUACUGAUUAACAGUUCAAAGAAAGGCUUGAUUUAAUCAUUUACAUUUCCUGUUCUGAUAUUUCAGGGCAAACACAGAAAAAUAAAAUAUCAGCAACAAAAAAGUCAAGUAGUGAUUUUGCCAUAGCCGUGCCUUAGCUGACAUUUAAAGUAAGUGGUGGAAAGUGAAGCUUACUAACCUUUCCAGCUAUACACUUCUAUCAGGAAUUGAACUAACGGCGCUAGCGCAACACUCAGUCCCAUUCCUGAACGUCCUAUUGCGUUGGCUAGAGCCAGCCGUUUCUUGAAGUACUUAACUGUCAUCACAGCUGCUACCUGAUACAAGCAAGCGAAACCCAGUCCUAAAAUGAAGAAGAGAAGCAUAAUGACCAAGAGCUGAACCUCAUGUGUGAGUGCUAUUUUUUUUGCUUGGUUUAGUUGAAACCAUCUUAUGUGGUUUAAAAGCAAUUUACAGAUUUAUCACACUGCGGUGGGAAUAAAAUGCCCAGUGAAAGGACCCAAAUGUGGAAGCAAAUAAUUGGAUUGUUGGCUAGCAGUACUGCAUUAUAGGAUUCCCUGGAGGUAGCAAUAGGAUGGUUUGGUGAUCUUAGAGGUAACAUCAGCUUGCUUUAACCUCUGACUCUGACCACAUAGUCAAAGUGCAAAUCAAACAUUGAAGUAAGAGACAUUUAGGGACCAUAGCUCAGUGAUAAACUUAUUUUGGUACUCUGACUUAAUUCCUGGUAGUUCCAGUUAAAAGGAUGAUGGGGAGAUAAUAAGUAGGAUCUUUGCUUGGAUUUCCGAAGAGCUAACAUCAAUCAGAGUGAAAUAAAUGAUAUCAGACUUAGUGGACCAAUUGUCUGACCUGAUAUAAGGAAAUUUUCCAGUUUAAAAAGGUCCCCCCCACCUCGUAAAUGGCUAUAUAAGAAACUCAUUUCUGCAUUUUUCCCUUGUGUUUACCUCUAGGACAUGUGCUUCAUUUGAGAAGGAUUCUUAACAGGUUUAAGAACAACUCAUCCUCAGAUUGCUUGGGAUAACUAAUCCUUGGGGGAUCGAACCAGUGCCAAGGAAACGAGGCACCAUUGCCUGCUGGUGUCUUCUGCAGUCCAACUUUGGAAGACAGCAGAACAUGGGCAUGCUUUACUUCCUCAGAACUGUGUCCUAGGUUUUAGCAGCUCUCUUACAAGCAGACUAGCCUCUCUUUGGUGGGAAACAGCUUUGAAAAAUGUGAAAGCCCAGCUAGUUACAGCUGUUUGCAAAUGAUCCCUAAAUAUGUGUCCAUGAUGAGUUAAAAGUCUAUGACUGACUUGUUAGACAUGUUAACUGUACACUCACCUGCAAGAAAUCCCAUGGACACGCACAGGAAAGAAAUGCUUGUGGCCAGAGUGCUGACAAGGCACCCUGCACCAACUAGGCAAGCGCCCAUCAGGGAAGUCUUCCUUUCACCCAGCAUUUCACAUACUGCGGUUACCAGUGGGGCUGGAACAGAAAGUGUUGAAUGGAAUAUACAUAUUGGUGACAGUGUUAGGGGAUAUUGAGCUUAGUAUAGAGCUUCAUUUAUGGGAAUUAAAAACUAGGGUGAUAAAGAGAAUGUAUUAUGCUAUGUAAACAAGUGGGAAAAUAAAAUGUCUGAGGAUACAAGAAAAGACAGUC